Molecule: long non-coding RNA, 236 nt
Filed under: Monodelphis domestica (gray short-tailed opossum)
Lineage: Eukaryota; Metazoa; Chordata; Mammalia; Didelphimorphia; Didelphidae
Description: lncRNA (ENSMODG00000038130.1)
Source: RNAcentral
GGGUCGGUGAAUGCUGGUGCCCAGUAGAAGGGAUGCAGAGGCUGGACUAGCAGGAGAGCUUUAGUUCUUCCAAGUUUAACAGACUCUGGAGGAGAAAGUGGACUUUCUCAAAAGACAAGGACUUUGUUCAACUCUGCCACACGUAAAUGCGAUCCAGGUGCAAGUCAAGUCAUCACCCAGCGAAACCAUCCGAGAACCAACAAAAAAGUGACCUAGCACUGAUCUGAGCCUUGAAG